This 18-nucleotide small nuclear RNA is filed under the name Arabidopsis thaliana (thale cress). RNAcentral's name for it is "snRNA_06170". The record is from RNAcentral. Lineage: Eukaryota; Viridiplantae; Streptophyta; Magnoliopsida; Brassicales; Brassicaceae.
GGCGAUCUCUGUCUCAAA